RNAcentral lists this unclassified non-coding RNA (192 nucleotides) under Palleronia abyssalis. RNAcentral describes it as "Intron_gpI". The record is from RNAcentral. Lineage: Bacteria; Pseudomonadati; Pseudomonadota; Alphaproteobacteria; Rhodobacterales; Roseobacteraceae.
AUUCCUAGUUGUAAUUGGGCGUUACGAUCGGAAACGGCGUAACGGAUCUGCUCAAAGUCGGGGAAAGCUACGGUGUACUCACACCUUGCCAAUCCCGAGCCAAGCCCCAACCGGGGAAGGUGUAGAGACUGGACGGGCAGCACCUAAAGGUUUCGGCCCAAGGUGAAGGGACAGUCCAGACCACGAACGUCG